RNAcentral lists this ribosomal RNA (653 nucleotides) under Phyllagathis rotundifolia. RNAcentral's name for it is "eukaryotic LSU rRNA". The stretch from base 261 to 417 matches the Rfam family "5.8S ribosomal RNA". The record is from RNAcentral. Lineage: Eukaryota; Viridiplantae; Streptophyta; Magnoliopsida; Myrtales; Melastomataceae.
CAUUGUCGAAAUCGAACGGAAGGACGACUCGCGAACAGUCAUUGCAAACUAGAGAUGGCCCGUGGGCGCACGAUGCUCACGCGGCUCGCGUCGCGUCGGCGUGGACGUACUCGAGGCCCGCGUCGUACCGACGGAAAAACAUCGUCAGCACGGAUCGUGCCAAGGAGCUGCACGGAGAGAACCGUCCUCCCUCGUCUUCGGUCGCCCUCGUUGCGGGACGGAAGGCGGGGGACGCGAGCGAUCUCUACUCAAGUCUAAAUGACUCUCGGCAACGGAUAUCUCGGCUCUUUGCAUCGAUGAAGAACGUAGCGAAAUGCGAUACUUGGUGUGAAUUGCAGAAUCCCGCGAACCAUCAAUUCUUUGAACGCAAGUUGCGCCCGAAGCCAUUCGGCCGAGGGCACGCCUGCCUGGGUGUCGUGAAUCCCCUUGCCCCUGGGCACCCGUGUUCAUGCAUUCGCAUCGUCGGGGAAAUGCUCGGGCGCAGAACAUGGUCUCCCGCGGGAUCGGCACGCGCGGCGUGCCGAGGCGCGGUUGGCCGAAAAUCGAGCAUGGAGGUGACGGGCACCACGACGUUCGGUGGAUCGAACGAGAGAUUGGCUGCGUCGUGGUAUCGGCACGCUUCUCGCUCCGGGCUUUGACGAUCCCUUGUGCGA